RNAcentral lists this ribosomal RNA (253 nucleotides) under uncultured bacterium. Its description in RNAcentral is "partial 16S ribosomal RNA". It matches the Rfam family "Bacterial small subunit ribosomal RNA", at positions 524 to 776 of the family's 1533-position model. The record is from RNAcentral.
UACGUAGGGUGCAAGCGUUGUCCGGAAUUAUUGGGCGUAAAGAGCUCGUAGGCGGUCUGUCGCGUCGGAUGUGAAAACUCGGGGCUCAACUCCGAGCGUGCAGUCGAUACGGGCAGGCUAGAGUUCGGCAGGGGAGACUGGAAUUCCUGGUGUAGCGGUGAAAUGCGCAGAUAUCAGGAGGAACACCGGUGGCGAAGGCGGGUCUCUGGGCCUAUACUGACGCUGAGGAGCGAAAGCCAGGGGAGCAAACGGG